UGGGGAAUAUUGCACAAUGGCCGAAAGGCUGAUGCAGCAACGCCGCGUGAGCGAAGAAGGCCUUCGGGUUGUAAAGCUCUGUUGCCUGCGAAGAAGGGCCCUGUCAGGAAAUGGGCGGGGUUUGACGGUAGCAGGCGAGGAAGCCCCGGCAAACUACGUGCCAGCAGCCGCGGUAAUACGUAGGGGGCGAGCGUUGUCCGGAAUUACUGGGCGUAAAGGGCGUGUAGGCGGCCUGUUAAGUCAGGGGUGAAAGACCGGGGCUCAACCCCGGGGGUGCCUCUGAAACUGGCGGGCUUGAGUGCUCUAGAGGGCAGUGGAAUUCCCGGUGUAGCAGUGAAAUGCGUAGAGAUCGGGAGGAACACCAGUGGCGAAGGCGGCUGCCUGGGGAGUCACUGACGCUGAGGCGCGAAAGCUAGGGGAGCAAACAGG
RNAcentral lists this ribosomal RNA (429 nucleotides) under Bacillota bacterium. Its description in RNAcentral is "Firmicutes bacterium partial 16S ribosomal RNA". It matches the Rfam family "Bacterial small subunit ribosomal RNA", at positions 355 to 776 of the family's 1533-position model. The record is from RNAcentral. Lineage: Bacteria; Bacillati; Bacillota.